AUUCGAAAUCUUGCCCUUUGUCCCGCAAAUCAUGCACCUUUGCGUGAGCAGGGUGCCAUUCCACGACUAGUUCAGUUGCUUGUUCGCGCACAUCAGGAUACCCAGCGCCGUACGUCCAUGGGUGGGACACAGCAGCAAUUUGUGGAGGGGGUCCGCAUGGAAGAAAUAGUUGAAGGUUGUACCGGAGCCCUUCACAUCCUAGCUCGGGAUGUUCACAACCGAAUUGUUAUCAGAGGACUAAAUACCAUUCCAUUGUUUGUGCAGCUGCUUUAUUCUCCCAUUGAAAACAUCCAAAGAGUAGCUGCAGGGGUCCUCUGUGAACUUGCUCAGGACAAGGAAGCUGCAGAAGCUAUUGAAGCUGAGGGAGCCACAGCUCCUCUGACAGAGUUACUUCACUCUAGGAAUGAAGGUGUGGGUAAGUAAAAAGGAACCAAAGCCUUUAGCAGAUGUGUACAUUGAAGUCUCAGUUUUUCCUCAAAGGCCUUUUUCUCCUUGUCUCUUAGCGACGUAUGCAGCUGCUGUUUUGUUCCGAAUGUCUGAGGACAAGCCACAAGAUUACAAGAAACGGCUUUCAGUUGAGCUGACCAGCUCUCUCUUCAGAACAGAGCCAAUGGCUUGGAAUGAGGUAGGGAAAUGUGAGCAGUUAUUUAUCUGGUAGUUUCCUAGAGCAGGUAAGGCAGCUUGUUCUUUCCUCUCAAAACACUUAGUACACAUUCAUUUGCAUUGAUGUUUCCCUGGCUUGAGUAUUUCUUCUUUAUGCUGUCUAGCAACUGCUCUGAGGAAGAACUAUAAUACAAGCUUUAAAGAGCCUGUUCAGAAUCAUUACAAAUAAGUUGUGUUAUUUAAAAUUAUAAUUCAUAAGGGAGAAAGAUGAAAAA
This 878-nucleotide small RNA is filed under the name Pan troglodytes (chimpanzee). RNAcentral's name for it is "retained intron". Lineage: Eukaryota; Metazoa; Chordata; Mammalia; Primates; Hominidae. The record is from RNAcentral.